CUACGUGCCAGCAGCCGCGGUAAUACGGAGGAUGCGAGCGUUAUCCGGAUUUAUUGGGUUUAAAGGGUGCGUAGGCGGCCUGUUAAGUCAGCGGUGAAAUCUAGGAGCUUAACUCCUAAAUUGCCAUUGAUACUGGCGGGCUUGAGUGUAGAUGAGGUAGGCGGAAUGCGUGGUGUAGCGGUGGAAUGCAUAGAUAUCACGCAGAACUCCGAUUGCGAAGGCAGCUUACUAAGGUACAACUGACGCUGAAGCACGAAAGCGUGGGUAUCAAACAGGAUUAGAUACCCUGGUAGUCCACGCAGUAAACGAUGAUAACUGGGCGUAUGCGAUAUACAGUAUGCUCCUAAGCGAAAGCGUUAAGCUAUCCACCUGGGGAGUACGCCGGCAACGGUGAAACUCAAAGGAAUUGACGGGGGCCCGCACAAGCGGAGGAACAUGUGGUUUAAUUCGAUGAUACGCGAGGAACCUUACCCGGGAUUGAA
Molecule: ribosomal RNA, 482 nt
Filed under: uncultured bacterium
Lineage: Bacteria
Description: bacterial SSU rRNA
Rfam family: Bacterial small subunit ribosomal RNA
Source: RNAcentral